RNAcentral lists this ribosomal RNA (327 nucleotides) under Lactococcus lactis subsp. lactis. RNAcentral describes it as "bacterial SSU rRNA". It matches the Rfam family "Bacterial small subunit ribosomal RNA", at positions 31 to 348 of the family's 1533-position model. Lineage: Bacteria; Bacillati; Bacillota; Bacilli; Lactobacillales; Streptococcaceae. The record is from RNAcentral.
GAACGCUGGCGGCGUGCCUAAUACAUGCAAGUUGAGCGCUGAAGGUUGGUACUUGUACCAACUGGAUGAGCAGCGAACGGGUGAGUAACGCGUGGGGAAUCUGCCUUUGAGCGGGGGACAACAUUUGGAAACGAAUGCUAAUACCGCAUAAAAACUUUAAACACAAGUUUUAAGUUUGAAAGAUGCAAUUGCAUCACUCAAAGAUGAUCCCGCGUUGUAUUAGCUAGUUGGUGAGGUAAAGGCUCACCAAGGCGAUGAUACAUAGCCGACCUGAGAGGGUGAUCGGCCACAUUGGGACUGAGACACGGCCCAAACUCCUACGGGAGG